CGGUAAAAACCGAGAAGUUCAUGUUAAAGACAUAUUAAGACAAGUAUAAUUUACUUUAUUUUAUUUGUGUUUUUAAAUAAGUAAUUACAAAUGUUUUCAUUUUUAGAGGUACAAAAAUAUGAUGAGAAGUAAACGUGAUUCUCUUUUAGAUCGAUUGCGCAAUGUUACUUAUGAAAUGCGAGAAAAUGAGGUCAAUUCAUUUAUUGACAAGACAUGUAUUAAGUGAGAUAAUUUUUCAUUUCAUGUUACUUUGUAUAUUUUUGGAAAAUUUAAUUAUACAUUUAAUAAUGUUUAUAUAAUGAAAUGUUUGUAUUCAUACAUUUUACUUUAACUCAGUUUUAGUUAUUUUUACUGAGGUUCUGUUUAUAGUAGACAGUGAUGGUACCAGCAUUUUUUUUUCUAAGGAGGGCCAUCUGAUUUUUAUAUGACAGAAG
This 434-nucleotide long non-coding RNA is filed under the name Cinara cedri. The record is from RNAcentral. Lineage: Eukaryota; Metazoa; Arthropoda; Insecta; Hemiptera; Aphididae.